This 253-nucleotide ribosomal RNA is filed under the name uncultured bacterium. RNAcentral describes it as "partial 16S ribosomal RNA". It matches the Rfam family "Bacterial small subunit ribosomal RNA", at positions 524 to 776 of the family's 1533-position model. The record is from RNAcentral.
UACGGGGGGGGCAAGCGUUGUUCGGAAUUACUGGGCGUAAAGGGCUCGUAGGUGGCCAACUAAGUCAGACGUGAAAUCCCUCGGCUUAACCGGGGAACUGCGUCUGAUACUGGAUGGCUGGAGUAUGGGAGAGGGAUGCGGAAUUCCAGGUGUAGCGGUGAAAUGCGUAGAUAUCUGGAGGAACACCGGUGGCGAAGGCGGCAUCCUGGACCAUUACUGACGCUGAGGAGCGAAAGCGUGGGGAGCGAACAGG